RNAcentral lists this long non-coding RNA (728 nucleotides) under Cottoperca gobio. RNAcentral's name for it is "lncRNA (ENSCGOG00000020526.1)". The record is from RNAcentral. Lineage: Eukaryota; Metazoa; Chordata; Actinopteri; Perciformes; Bovichtidae.
CUUAGAUAGAAAACUAUUUAACUCCAAAAAGGAGCAAAAGCAAGAAAUGAAAAAGAUUGCCUGUCUUGUUUGCUUUCAGAGAUUUCUUAACUUUGUUCAGUUAAAUCAGGGUUUCUCAACGGGGCGGUAGCGACCCCCCAGGGAGAAGAGCGAGGCAAAGUCCUUGUAUGUGAAAGUUUCACCAUGAACGUCGUGUUAUUGACUUGGUUACAUAUUUACAAGAGGGGUGUUCCCCUGAAAGCACCGAGCGUCCAGCAUCCAGACACACAGUAGCUGUGUCUCACACACACAGUAGCUGUGUCUCACACACACAGUAGCUGUGUCUCAAUUCAGGGGCUGUAGACCGAGCAGCCACAACAGGACUGUCCGAUUUCGGAGACUCAAUGCGCCCAGAGAAGUUAUUUUCUGACGCAGCCGUAGCGACAAAUGGAUAUACUUUUAAAUGGAGAAGGAGACAGGCAGAAGAGAGGAGAGCAGGGAGAGGAUGGACAGACUCUUCUCUCUGCUGGAGAAACUUGUUGACAAAUGAAAUGAGAAGAGAGGGACAGAGGAGGAGAUACACAGACCGAUGGAUGUUCAUUUGUUUGUCUGGAGGAUGCAGGUACUUGAGGGAUCAAAGAUGCCAGACGGUCAAAAACACUCAUUCUGUUAGGAAAUCUCGGAACGGAGACUGGAAAACAACGCGUCAAUUUUUCCAAAGCUGUCAGCUUUCAGGGAGUUCAUCAUAG